CAGGGUCUUGGUCUCAAACCUCCUAUUACCUACACCCCAUAAUUAUACAUGCGAGCCUCAUCAAAACGGUGAAAUAGCCCACCAAAACACCACGAGCCGGUAUCAGGCCCAUGCCCAUAACACCAAGCACUAAAGCCACACCCACACGGGCAAGCAGCAGUAGUUAAUAUUAGGCCAUAAGUGAAAACUUGACCUAGCAAUGGGGUACACAGGGCCGGUUAAUCUCGUGCCAGCGACCGCGGUUACACGACAGGCCCAAGAUAAUACAGUCGGCGUAAAACACGACUAGAAUGACAGUCCAUACAACUAGGGGUGAAAACACACUGGGCUGUAAAAAGCCAUAAGCAACAAUAACCACCAACCCUAGGCAACAAACACCUUUAACUCGUGAAAGCAAGGACACAAACUAAGAUUAGAUACCUUACUAUGCCUAGCUAUAAAAAGACAAUAAAAUAACUAAUUGUUCGCCAAACAACUACGAGUGAAAACUUAAAACUUAAAAGACUUGACGGUGCUUCACACCAGCCUAGAGGAGCCUGUCCAAUAACCGAUAAUCCACGAUUAACCCAACCCAACCUUGCCAAACAGUCUAUAUACCGCCGUCGCCAGCCUACCUUGUGAAAGCAAAAUAGUAAGCAUAACAGCACACACUAAUACGACAGGUCGAGGUGUAACUUAUGGUUGGGCAUAAGAUGGGCUACAUUUUCUAACCAAGAACAAACGGACAAACCGUGAAACCGGGAACCAAAGGUGGAUUUAGCAGUAGGAUAAGAACAUAAUGCUUGACCGAAAUCUGCAAUGAAGUGCGUACACACCGCCCGUCAUCCCUGCAAGACAAAACACCAAUAAAUAAAACCACAACCACCAACUAAAACAGGGCAAGUCGUAACAAGGUAAGCGUACUGGAAAGUGCGCUUAGAGA
Molecule: non-coding RNA, 922 nt
Filed under: Psammophis lineolatus
Lineage: Eukaryota; Metazoa; Chordata; Lepidosauria; Squamata
Description: 12S ribosomal RNA
Rfam family: Bacterial small subunit ribosomal RNA
Source: RNAcentral